This 518-nucleotide ribosomal RNA is filed under the name uncultured bacterium. RNAcentral describes it as "bacterial SSU rRNA". It matches the Rfam family "Bacterial small subunit ribosomal RNA", at positions 14 to 518 of the family's 1533-position model. The record is from RNAcentral.
CGAUUCUGGCUCAGAUUGAACGCUGGCGGCGUGCUUAACACAUGCAAGUCGCGCGUGAAAGGACUUCGGUCCGAGUAAAGCGGCGCACGGGUGAGUAACGCGUGGAUGAUCUACCAUGAGUUAGGAAUAACGGCUGGAAACGGUCGCUAAUACCAAAUACGCUCCGAUUUCAACUUCGGGGGAAAGGUGGCCUCUGCUUGCAAGCUACUGCUCAUGGAUGAGUCCGCGUCCCAUUAGCUAGUUGGUGGGGUAACGGCCCACCAAGGCGACGAUGGGUAGCCGGUCUGAGAGGAUGACCGGCCACACUGGGACUGGAACACGGCCCAGACUCCUACGGGAGGCAGCAGUGGGGAAUAUUGCGCAAUGGGCGAAAGCCUGACGCAGCGACGCCGCGUGAGGGAUGAAGGUCCUCGGAUCGUAAACCUCUGUCAGGAGGGAAGAACCGCCACGGUGCUAAUCAGCCGUGGUCUGACGGUACCUCCAAAGGAAGCACCGGCUAACUCCGUGCCAGCCGCUGC